Molecule: long non-coding RNA, 311 nt
Organism: Oreochromis aureus
Lineage: Eukaryota; Metazoa; Chordata; Actinopteri; Cichliformes; Cichlidae
Source: Ensembl
UUUAUUUAUUCAUUUUAGUAAUGGUAUAAACAGUGAAAGGCGGUGGAUUGUCCAGAUGCUGGUCGAUGUGGAAAAAAUAACUGAGUUGUUUGGUAGUCGCUGACGCGGAGCUACAACCGAGGGCAGCUAUCCACCGGUGUGUGUCAGAAAGAACAUGCGGGGAACGAGGCGGCGAGGCGACCGCCGAUCGACCGGUGGUAGAUCGUGGAUCAGGGAAACCGAAGGCAGGAGAAGCAGGCGGCUGCCGGUCGGAGCGUGAGGUGAACUGAAUUUCAGGUAAGAAGUUAUGACCUGCACUCUAUUUGGGUCAG